Molecule: long non-coding RNA, 1457 nt
Organism: Oncorhynchus keta (chum salmon)
Lineage: Eukaryota; Metazoa; Chordata; Actinopteri; Salmoniformes; Salmonidae
Exons: 3
Source: RefSeq, a predicted model, not a curated record
ACACUCUAACAUCAGGCCAGUAUCCAUCUAUAUGGUGCAGGGUCCAGGUCCACCAUGACAUCUCUACUCCACAGGGUUCAGGCCCACCAUGAGAUCUCUACUCCACAGGGUUCAGGCCCACCAUGAGGUCUCUACUCCACAGGGUCCAGGUCUACUCCACAGGGUUCAGGCCCACCAUGAGGUCUCUACUCCACAGGGUCCAGGCCCACCAUGAGGUCUCUACUCCACAGGGUCCAGGCCCACCAUGAGGUCUCUACUCCACAGGGUCCAGGCCCACCAUGACAUCUCUACUCCACAGGGUCCAGGCCCACCAUGAGGUCUCUACUCCACAGGGUUCAGGCCCACCAUGAGGUCUCUACUCCACAGGGUUCAGGUCUCUACUCCAAAGGGUUCAGGCCCACCUGAGGUCUCUACUCCACAGGGUCCAGGUCUACUCCACAGGGUCCAGACCCACCAUGAGGUCUCUACUCCACAGGGUCCAGGUCUACUCCACAGGGUCCAGGCCCACCAUGAGGUCUCUACUCCACAGGGUCCAGGCCCACCAUGAGGUCUCUACUCCACAGGGUCCAGGCCCACCAUGAGGUCUCUACUCCACAGGGUCCAGGCCCACCAUGAGGUCUCUACUCCACAGGGUCCAGGCCCACCAUGAGGUCUCUACUCCACAGGGUCCAGGCCCACCAUGAGGUCUCUACUCCACAGGGUCCAGGCCCACCAUGAGGUCUCUACUCCACAGGGUCCAGGCCCACCAUGAGGUCUCUACUCCACAGGGUCCAGGCCCACCAUGAGGUCUCUACUCCACAGGGUCCAGGCCCACCAUGAGGUCUCUACUCCACAGGGUCCAGGCCCACCAUGAGGUCUCUACUCCACAGGGUCCAGGCCCACCAUGAGGUCUCUACUCCACAGGGUCCAGGCCCACCAUGAGGUCUCUACUCCACAGGGUCCAGGCCCACCAUGAGGUCUCUACUCCACAGGGUCCAGGCCCACCAUGAGGUCUCUACUCCACAGGGUCCAGGCCCACCAUGAGGUCUCUACUCCAUAGGGUCCAGGCCCACCAUGACAUCUCUACUCCACAGGGUUCAGGCCCACCAUGACAUCUCUACUCCACAGGGUUCAGGCCCACCAUGAGGUCUCUACUCCACAGGGUUCAGGCCCACCAUGAGGUCUCUACUCCACAGGGUCCAGGCCCACCAUGAGGUCUCUACUCCACAGGGUUCAGGCCCACCAUGGGGUCUCUACUAUCUCUACGAAUCUAUACCACUAUAAACAGUUAUAGUCUGUUUUAUGUGUGGCCAUAUUAUACAGUCUACCCACGCCAGGAGUGCUUGAGAAACCAGCACAGAGAAACUCUAUUUCUUCAAGCCUCUUGACAUUGUGAUACUCCCCAAUACUACCGUAGGUAGUAACCCCUGAUCUACAGUGCCCGUUAAUACCCAAAAUUAUCACAACUACAGUGCUCU